UACGUAGGGGGCGAGCGUUGUCCGGAUUUAUUGGGCGUAAAGAGCGUGUAGGCGGCUUGGUAGGUCUGCUGUGAAAACUCGGGGCUCAACCCCGAGACGUCGGUGGAAACCGUAUGGCUAGAGUCCGGAAGAGGAGAGUGGAAUUCCUGGUGUAGCGGUGAAAUGCGCAGAUAUCAGGAAGAACACCCGUGGCGAAGGCGGCUCUCUGGGACGGUACUGACGCUGAGACGCGAAAGCGUGGGGAGCGAACAGG
RNAcentral lists this ribosomal RNA (253 nucleotides) under uncultured bacterium. Its description in RNAcentral is "partial 16S ribosomal RNA". It matches the Rfam family "Bacterial small subunit ribosomal RNA", at positions 524 to 776 of the family's 1533-position model. The record is from RNAcentral.